CCAGCCUCCCCCACCACCCCAGGCUGUCCGCCCAGGCUCCAGGAAUGCAAGUUCCCGCUCACAGGAAGACCAGGUCUUCUGCCUCAGUUUCCCUGCCUGACAAUCCAGGGGAGCAAUGCCUGUGGGGCUGCUCACUGCCCCCAGACCUUCUGCACAUGUGUGACUCCUGUGACAUCCUCUGUCUCCAGGUUUCCAGACUUCUCAGCCCCACCCUUGCAGCAGCAGUACCACCACCGGCUCUGUCAGCGGGGAGGUCAGCCCGUUCUCUGG
This 270-nucleotide long non-coding RNA is filed under the name Homo sapiens (human). Its description in RNAcentral is "HSALNT0177214". Lineage: Eukaryota; Metazoa; Chordata; Mammalia; Primates; Hominidae. The record is from RNAcentral.